RNAcentral lists this long non-coding RNA (1066 nucleotides) under Heterocephalus glaber (naked mole-rat). Its description in RNAcentral is "lncRNA (ENSHGLG00100051289.1)". The record is from RNAcentral. Lineage: Eukaryota; Metazoa; Chordata; Mammalia; Rodentia; Bathyergidae.
GGGAGGGACAAGUGUGCGGGGUAAGUCGCAGGUCGACAGUGCCGGGCUGCCUGCUCUUCCGUUUCCACCCUGCAGGCCUGGUGGCAAAGAUGGCUGAUGCCUACUGAACCUGUCCAGCGACCCUGGAGCAUGGGGGCCUGGGCAGGGUGGGGUCACCUCCAGACAGAGGCGAUGGACCCCAGCGAGCGUGCUGAAGAGCCUGCGACUUGGCGACAGAACCUCGGACAGCGGAGGUUAUGUGAGCAGAGGACUCGAGCAGGGGUCUGCACAAACCAUCACACAGCAUUGUUCACAAGCCUAAGAGCAGACAGUGGAGAUCCCUGCUGAGGGACAGCCACACACCCUCCUGCCGCACGGGCGGAGCAGCUUCCUGUGAGAAGGAGUCGGUCUUGGCCCCCCGUGCAGAGCAGCCACCCCCAGACGCCAGCCCUGCACUGAGCGCUGUACCUCAGUGUCUCAAUCUGCAGGCCCGCACCAUAAAGUAGGGCAGUGGCUGCUGAGGGCUGGAGGGGCCUGGGGGAAGUAGGGUGUCUUUGUCCGUUCCUGAUGCUAUAACAAACAUCAAGAUGGGUGAGUUCCAAACAGCAGUGGCAUCCUCCUCACCAAUCUGGGCUCUGUCUGGGGAGGGCCUGUUUUGCCCUGGGUGGGUGCCAGGCCACAGGCCUCUGCAGGACGCAGUCAAGGCAAGGAAGCACCAGCCUCGAGGCCUCACACUGCCCUCCCUGUUGGGGCUGGGCCUCCUGAGCACCGGUGAGGGCUCUUCUGGCCCAGGUCUCCCUCUGGAGGGACCGACGGCCCAGGCCUGGCCCACUGUGUGGUCUGGAAGGAGGUAAGGACCAUACAGGACCAGCCCACUGCAUCUCACUCAGUCCCUCACAGACAGACUGGGCUCUGGACUUCUGGUGCUGGACAGAGCGGUGAUGUGAACCUUUCAGGGACUGAGUGUUCAGACUGCGACUCAAAACCCACUUAUUUACCGCAAAGUGCCCACUCUGCUGCUGAACCUGGACACUGAGGCUUCGGUUUAGAAAAGCAACUCACCCAUCUGUGCCGUAGAUCCGCCACC